This 645-nucleotide ribosomal RNA is filed under the name Limosilactobacillus oris. RNAcentral's name for it is "bacterial SSU rRNA". It matches the Rfam family "Bacterial small subunit ribosomal RNA", at positions 62 to 663 of the family's 1533-position model. The record is from RNAcentral. Lineage: Bacteria; Bacillati; Bacillota; Bacilli; Lactobacillales; Lactobacillaceae.
UCGAGCGCACUGGCCCAACAGAAAUGACGUGCUUGCACUGAUUUGACGUUGGAUUCCCAGUGAGCGGCGGACGGGUGAGUAACACGUGGGCAACCUGCCCCAAAGCGGGGGAUAACAUUUGGAAACAGGUGCUAAUACCGCAUAACUUGGAAAACCACAUGGUUUUCCAAUAAAAGAUGGUUUCGGCUAUCACUUUGGGAUGGGCCCGCGGUGCAUUAGCUAGUUGGUAAGGUAACGGCUUACCAAGGCGAUGAUGCAUAGCCGAGUUGAGAGACUGAUCGGCCACAAUGGAACUGAGACACGGUCCAUACUCCUACGGGAGGCAGCAGUAGGGAAUCUUCCACAAUGGGCGCAAGCCUGAUGGAGCAACACCGCGUGAGUGAAGAAGGGUUUCGGCUCGUAAAACUCUGUUGUUGGAGAAGAACGUGCGUAAGAGUAACUGUUUACGCAGUGACGGUAUCCAACCAGAAAGUCACGGCUAACUACGUGCCAGCAGCCGCGGUAAUACGUAGGUGGCAAGCGUUAUCCGGAUUUAUUGGGCGUAAAGCGAGCGCAGGCGGUUGCUUAGGUCUGAUGUGAAAGCCUUCGGCUUAACCGAAGAAGUGCAUCGGAAACCGGGCGACUUGAGUGCAGAAGAGGACAGUG